AAACUAACAAGGAUUCCCCUAGUAACGGCGAGUGAAGCGGGAAGAGCUCAAAUUUGUAAUCUGGCACUUUCAGUGUCCGAGUUGUAAUCUCGAGAAGUAUUUUCCGCGCCGGACCGCAUACAAGUCUGUUGGAAUACAGCGUCAUAGUGGUGAGAACCCCGUAACUGAUGCGGAUGCCCGGUGCUUUGUGAUAUACUUUCGAAGAGUCGAGUUGUUUGGGAAUGCAGCUCAAAUUGGGUGGUAAAUUCCAUCUAAAGCUAAAUAUUGGAGCAAGACCGAUAGCGAACAAGUACCGUGAGGGAAAGAUGAAAAGCACUUUGGAAAGAGAGUUAACAGUACGUGAAAUUGUUGGAAGGGAAACGCUUGAAGUCAGACUUGCUAUUCGGAGUUCAGCCGCAAGGUGUAUUCUUCGAUUCGCAGGCCAGCAUCAGUUUUCGGGGGUGGAAAAUCACGGUUUGAAGGUAGCAACCUCGGUUGUGUUAUAGCUU
This 488-nucleotide ribosomal RNA is filed under the name Leucosporidium golubevii. Its description in RNAcentral is "eukaryotic LSU rRNA". It matches the Rfam family "Eukaryotic large subunit ribosomal RNA", at positions 62 to 562 of the family's 3401-position model. The record is from RNAcentral. Lineage: Eukaryota; Fungi; Basidiomycota; Microbotryomycetes; Leucosporidiales; Leucosporidiaceae.